GACGAACGCUGGCGGCGUGCUUAACACAUGCAAGUCGAACGGAAAGGCCCUGCUUUUGUGGGGUGCUCGAGUGGCGAACGGGUGAGUAACACGUGAGUAACCUGCCCUUUACUUUGGGAUAACUUCAGGAAACUGGGGCUAAUACCGGAUAGGAGCUCCUGCUGCAUGGUGGGGGUUGGUAAGUUUCGGCGGUUGGGGAUGGACUCGCGGCUUAUCAGCUUGUUGGUGGGGUAGUGGCUUACCAAGGCUUUGACGGGUAGCCGGCCUGAGAGGGUGACCGGCCACAUUGGGACUGAGAUACGGACCAGACUCCAACGGGAGGCAGCAGUGGGGAAUAUUGCACAAUGGGCGGAAGCCUGAUGCAGCAACGCCGCGUGCGGGAUGACGGCCUUCGGGUUGUAAACCGCUUUCGCCUGUGACGAAGCGUGAGUGACGGUAAUGGGUAAAGAAGCACCGGCUAACUACGUG
This 468-nucleotide ribosomal RNA is filed under the name uncultured bacterium. Its description in RNAcentral is "partial 16S ribosomal RNA". It matches the Rfam family "Bacterial small subunit ribosomal RNA", at positions 28 to 507 of the family's 1533-position model. The record is from RNAcentral.